CCUACGGUGGGCAGCAGUGGGGAAUAUUGCACAAUGGGGGAAACCCUGAUGCAGCGACGCCGCGUGAGUGAAGAAGUAUUUCGGUAUGUAAAUCUUUGUCUGCAGGGAAGAAAAUGACGGUACCUGACCAAGAAGCCCCGGCUAACUACGUGCCAGCAGCCGCGGGAAUACGUAGGGGGCAAGCGUUAUCCGGAUUUACUGGGUGUAAAGGGAGCGUAGACGGGAGGGCAAGUCUGGGGUGAAAGGCGGGGGCUCAACCCCCGGACUGCUCUGGAAACUGCCAGGCUGGAGUGCAGGAGAGGUAAGUGGAAUUCGUAGUGUAGCGGUGAAAUGCGUAGAUAUUAGGAGGAACACCAGUGGCGAAGGCGGCUUACUGGUCUGUAACUGACGUUGAGGCUCGAAAGCGUGGGGAGCAAACAGGAUUAGAUACCCCUGUAGUC
This 440-nucleotide ribosomal RNA is filed under the name uncultured bacterium. Its description in RNAcentral is "partial 16S ribosomal RNA". It matches the Rfam family "Bacterial small subunit ribosomal RNA", at positions 338 to 795 of the family's 1533-position model. The record is from RNAcentral.